CUGCAUGGUUCGAAAUUGAAAGGCGGCUUCGGCUGUCACUUAUGGAUGGACCCGCGUCGCAUUAGCUAGUUGGUGAGGUAACGGCUCACCAAGGCAACGAUGCGUAGCCGACCUGAGAGGGUGAUCGGCCACACUGGGACUGAGACACGGCCCAGACUCCUACGGGAGGCAGCAGUAGGGAAUCUUCCGCAAUGGACGAAAGUCUGACGGAGCAACGCCGCGUGAGUGAUGAAGGCUUUCGGGUCGUAAAACUCUGUUGUUAGGGAAGAACAAGUGCUAGUUGAAUAAGCUGGCACCUUGACGGUACCUAACCAGAAAGCCACGGCUAACUACGUGCCAGCAGCCGCGGUAAUACGUAGGUGGCAAGCGUUAUCCGGAAUUAUUGGGCGUAAAGCGCGCGCAGGUGGUUUCUUAAGUCUGAUGUG
RNAcentral lists this ribosomal RNA (425 nucleotides) under Bacillus sp. (in: firmicutes). RNAcentral describes it as "bacterial SSU rRNA". It matches the Rfam family "Bacterial small subunit ribosomal RNA", at positions 186 to 596 of the family's 1533-position model. The record is from RNAcentral. Lineage: Bacteria; Bacillati; Bacillota; Bacilli; Caryophanales; Bacillaceae.